Non-coding RNA from Pelobates cultripes (western spadefoot toad), 225 nucleotides. The record is from the annotation of a GenBank genome assembly. NCBI's taxonomy places the organism in Eukaryota, Metazoa, Chordata, Amphibia, Anura, Pelobatidae.
GUCCAAUCACUUGACGCGUUUCGGCUGUUCGCCUUCCUCCGAAGUGAUAUCCAUAUCCAAGGCAUCUGAAUUAUAUACUUGAAUUUUGGCGCCCUUUCUCCCUUACAUCCUUCCGUUCCGGUUUUUGACGUCGGGACGCCCUCUGCGUCAUCACGUUCCGCGUCAAGUGAUUGGACUUGUUCUUUUGGGACUUUUAAUUACCUUUUGUUUUUAUUCACUUCAUAA